UACGAAGGGGGCUAGCGUUGUUCGGAUUUACUGGGCGUAAAGCGCACGUAGGCGGAUUGUUAAGUCAGAGGUGAAAUCCCAGGGCUCAACCCUGGAACUGCCUUUGAUACUGGCAAUCUUGAGUCCGAGAGAGGUGAGUGGAAUUCCUAGUGUAGAGGUGGAAUUCGUAGAUAUUAGGAAGAACACCAGUGGCGAAGGCGGCUCACUGGCUCGGUACUGACGCUGAGGUG
This 230-nucleotide ribosomal RNA is filed under the name uncultured microorganism. Its description in RNAcentral is "partial 16S ribosomal RNA". It matches the Rfam family "Bacterial small subunit ribosomal RNA", at positions 524 to 753 of the family's 1533-position model. The record is from RNAcentral.